Molecule: RNase P RNA, 473 nt
Filed under: Candidatus Magasanikbacteria bacterium CG10_big_fil_rev_8_21_14_0_10_43_6
Lineage: Bacteria; Candidatus Magasanikiibacteriota
Description: RNase P RNA component class A
Rfam family: Bacterial RNase P class A
About the family: Ribonuclease P (RNase P) is a ubiquitous endoribonuclease, found in archaea, bacteria and eukarya as well as chloroplasts and mitochondria. Its best characterised activity is the generation of mature 5'-ends of tRNAs by cleaving the 5'-leader elements of precursor-tRNAs.
Source: RNAcentral
UUUCUUAUGAAUGUGAUCGCUUCGCUCUAUGAGCGGGGAGGAAAGUCCGAACUCCUUGCAUACCGGCUCCGGUUAUGGCUCGGCAAGUACAUACCUUAUGCAUAAUAAGAUCUGUGGCUUGUCCGGCUUUACCGGAUCCGGAUGUUGACAAUGGAUAGUGGGUAACACCCACCCNNNNNNNNNNNNNNNGUACGGGCGGGACAGUGCCACAGAGACAAUACUAACCCAACUUGAUUGGGUAAAAGGUGAAAAGUGUAUGGAUGUUUUUGGUCUCGAGUCAAAAGCUACCAUACUCCGGCCAUGGUAACAUGGCAUGGCGGUAAACCCUAUCCGGAGAAAGAGCAGCGUUCCCCGCCUAGGCGGGGUUCGAAAAGGUAGCUCGUUUGACGACUGCAGCAAUGCAGCUCGCAGAGAAAUGAUCACAGCCCGGCAAUGCCGGGCAACAGAAUUCGGCUUAUUUCGUAGGAAAGACA